Paramormyrops kingsleyae is the source of this 289-nucleotide long non-coding RNA. RefSeq lists it as uncharacterized. The record is from RefSeq and is a predicted model, not a curated record. Lineage: Eukaryota; Metazoa; Chordata; Actinopteri; Osteoglossiformes; Mormyridae.
CCCAGCUGCCGACAGCCGUGAGCUGGGGGGUGGGGGGGCGCAGGUCUUUGCCUUUCACCAGCUGUCACGCACACCGGCCUUUCAAUGCCUCUUUCAGCUUCCGUCUCUGCCCCGACGAAGGAGGAACACAAUUCCUUCUCACUCGUGCGGUUUCUGCAAGCAGAUAUCAAGACCAUAGCCUUGCAAUCAACAUUGGGGGAGGCCAAACCUACCAAGAGUGUCACACCCUCGUGUCUGGAGUACGUGCUGAAUUCAGAUGCGCAUAAUCUGGACGACACCCAUGAUCCAG